This 253-nucleotide ribosomal RNA is filed under the name uncultured bacterium. RNAcentral describes it as "partial 16S ribosomal RNA". It matches the Rfam family "Bacterial small subunit ribosomal RNA", at positions 524 to 776 of the family's 1533-position model. The record is from RNAcentral.
UACAGAGGGGGCUAGCGUUGUUCGGAAUUACUGGGCGUAAAGCGUGCGCAGGCGGCGCGUUAAGACAGGUGUGAAAGCCCCGAGCUUAACUUGGGAAUUGCGCUUGUGACUGGCGUGCUGGAGUGUGGCAGAGGGAGGUGGAAUUCCACGUGUAGCAGUGAAAUGCGUAGAGAUGUGGAGGAACACCGAUGGCGAAGGCAGCCUCCUGGGCCAGCACUGACGCUCAUGCACGAAAGCGUGGGGAGCAAACAGG